GAUGAACGCUGGCGGCGUGCCUAAUACAUGCAAGUCGAGCGGACGGACGAGAAGCUUGCUUCUCUGAUGUUAGCGGCGGACGGGUGAGUAACACGUGGAUAACCUACCUAUAAGACUGGGAUAACUUCGGGAAACCGUAGCUAAUACCGGAUAAUAUUUUGAACCGCAUGGUUCAACAGUGAAAGACGGUCUUGCUGUCACUUAUAGAUGGAUCCGCGCUGCAUUAGCUAGUUGGUAAGGUAACGGCUUACCAAGGCAACGAUGCAUAGCCGACCUGAGAGGGUGAUCGGCCACACUGGAACUGAGACACGGUCCAGACUCCUACGGGAGGCAGCAGUAGGGAAUCUUCCGCAAUGGGCGAAAGCCUGACGGAGCAACGCCGCGUGAGUGAUGAAGGUCUUCGGAUCGUAAAACUCUGUUAUUAGGGAAGAACAUAUGUGUAAGUAACUGUGCACAUCUUGACGGUACCUAAUCAGAAAGCCACGGCUAACUACGUG
This 497-nucleotide ribosomal RNA is filed under the name uncultured bacterium. RNAcentral describes it as "partial 16S ribosomal RNA". It matches the Rfam family "Bacterial small subunit ribosomal RNA", at positions 28 to 507 of the family's 1533-position model. The record is from RNAcentral.